RNAcentral lists this long non-coding RNA (5655 nucleotides) under Xyrichtys novacula (pearly razorfish). The record is from RNAcentral. Lineage: Eukaryota; Metazoa; Chordata; Actinopteri; Labriformes; Labridae.
ACCUCCCGUGUGCGCGCCCUCACCGGCGGGCACACGCACGGUGAGGCGCGAGAGGGAGGAGGAGGACGACGGGGAGGAGGUAGGCGCUCGCGCAGUCCUGCUCUACCCCCGUGAUGCGUUCACUUGCUGUCGGAAACGGUGGAUCCCUGUCAAAUAUAACACUUUAUGGUCGGUUUAGUGGGAACUUAAAGCAAAAAUGAUUAGAUUCAUCUAUUUUUUCUUUAACUUAUUUACUUUUUGGGGUCAAACUACUAACACCUGUUUGCAUUUGAUAAAAAAAAUCACACACCUCAUAAAUAAAAUACGUUUUUCAAGUUCAGACGCAAAAUACUUUAAAGAGAUAUUCUGGCGUAAAAAUUAAAUUAGGGUCAAACACACCGUAACACCGAGUUAGAUUCCCCAUUGAGAGAUUAAUAUUGCCAACUGCCUGCUUCUCUAGUUUAACAAACUUUGGUAACGACCUCAGAUAGCAAUACAGAGAACCAUGCGCUCAACCAAAACGCCACUCUAUAGCCACAAAUAAUGUUCAGAACAGCACCUAACUUCAUCAACAGUACAUAUAGGGUCCCAAAGUUAAAAAGAUGUUUGGUGGCUGGUGCUAUGGCUGGGACCCUAUAUGUACUGUUGAUGAAGUUAGGUGCUGUUCUGAGCAUUAUUUGUGACUAUAGAGUGGCGGUUUGGUUGAGGCUUGUUUAUGGCUCCUCAGACCGCUGUGUAUUGCUACUGUGCGGUCAUUACUAAAGUUGGUAUAACUAGAGAAGCAAGCGGCCUGCAACAUUUAUCUCUCGAGGGGGUGUCUAACUUGGUGUUACAGUGUGUUUGACCAUAAGUUAAUUUUACGCUUGAAUAUCCCUUUAAAUUGAAAUCAAUAGCUUACAGAGUUAAAUGGCAAUGUCAAAUCAGUUUAUUCAUUUCUAUGACUUUUAACCCUUGAUUUCCUGAGAUAGAUGUUUGAAAAAAUUAAGUGAAGUUGCCACACAUUCUUUGAUUUUCAAUAACACAAAAGUGCCAUUUAAUUAUAGAAUAUGCUCACUUUGAUAAAGACUUGAAAUUGCCAAUUUAGUUAAAGCUAAUACACCAUCCAAUCAAUUUAAGGUGACUUGCAAGUGACAAUAGUUUUGGUGACCUCAUGUCUUAAGAACUACAGCCAGUGAGGAAGUGCUAAAAAGUGCAGUUCCUCUGGUGUCCACUAGAAGCUAGCUCCAAAAGUCAAGAAGCUAAACACACACUCAUUCUGAAAAGCCCAUUUUAAUAUGAAAAUAAACAUAAUUACAGAAAAUGAAUAAAGUAAAGGCAUUUGGUGGCCAAGACUUGUCUUUGAGAAACUAUAAACUGCAGAAGAGUUCAGUUGUUUUUCUUUUUUAUAACUUCACAAGGGUGAGUAGGUCAGAAACAAUAUUGUUUCUCAAUCCACAGGACAAGGAACAGUGUUUCUAAUUAUGGGUCACUUGGAUCAGUGGUUCUCAAAUGCGCUUUGCUGAGAUGCCUUCCAAGAGAAUAAAAUGAUUUAAUUCAGGUUGCAGUUUUUAUUCAAUGUGUUGAAAAUAUUUACAAAACUAGAAAAUGUAUCUUUAGAUAAAUGAAAAUAAAUAUUGGGGUAUACUUUUUUGUUGCCACGUGACCGAUGACAAGAUCAGAGCAGAUUAAUGACAGCAACAGGUGCACAUCAGCGAGUAUUUUGCAGACCAACAAAAUGAAGCACCCUUGGCUUUGCAUGGGCAUGAAACUCAAAGACACACACAGGCUCACCUGUGGGUUUGAUUAUUAAUAUUGUAUGAUAGUAACUAUCAAAUAUAGUCAGUCUUUUUUUGUUGUUGUUUUUGCUUUAUUGUCCAUUUUAGUGUGCAACUGUGGGCAAUAUUUUACCACCUUAAGGGCCAACACAGUAGGGCUCACCUGUCCCUGGAACUGUCAUUUUGGGAUUGUAGGUUAACUCAGUUGACUAGUAGACUAGAAAAAAACAAUUUUCGAUGUUUGUUUACCUGUUUAUUCACAUCUUUAUUUUCCAUUGUGAUAUGUCUUGUACUCUAAGUUCAGUAUUUGGUUGUUCAGUCAAAAUAAAAUCAUGCAUAGCAUUUUUAAUUGUGGACGUGAGAGUUGGCUGUUGAGUUUAAAAUCAUAAAUGAUAUUUCUGAUGGAGCAUAAACACAGAUCAGAGGUCCACAACCUUGCAAACACUAGACUCCAUCUUAAUGACUAAAAACUAAUUGAAAUAGAAUUUAAAAAUAAUGAAUUGCAUUUUAAACAAAUGAGUUAGAACUUAUUGACCCUAUAUAAUAACUGGGUUAUAUCUCUAUGUGUGUUUUUCAGCUCUAAAGAAAGCUCUUACUGUUGUAGCUUUACUUCAGGCACUGAGGCUUUGUCGGGGCCGUCAUUAACAAGAAGGUUAUUGAUUCUUUUCUGUGAUAUUUAAUGCAGACUUCGAUAUGGUUUGUGGCUGCACCUUGAACUCAGCACACACCGCCUCAUUUGCAAACCAUCACAUCUGCUGAGACCAAUCGAUUACCUUGGUGAUGAUGGACAGUAACAGUGAAAUGCAGGAACAAUGGAUGCAUUAUUAAAUUAAACGACACAGAUUUGAGAUUACAGUUUGUAUGAGCAUCGACUAAUAAGCCUCUUUCCAUACUGGAGCAGUGUUUAUUAAUUUCCUGCAAACACUGACCUGAAAUAUUCCUCUAUGAGAUCACAGAUGUGUGUGAAAGCCGUGCCAGACUCUAGAAGGUGUUGUAAAAAAUCCAUGAUUAGAAGACAACAUGGCUCCUUUGGGUUCAAACGUAAACAAUACUAAUGAGUACCUGUGGGAGUCCUUCACACAACCUGAAAUGGGGCAGCACAGUUUCCAAACUGAGGAAACUCUGCAACUUUGAGGACUCGGUGCGGAAACAGCUUCCUCAUCAUCAAGGUUUCGAUCCUUUAUUAAAGUCACUAUAUCAUAUAUUAAGCUCAGGAGAGAGGGUGGUAUUGAUAGUGCUGCAAAUAUGUGGAAAACUUUGCUGAACAAACCUUUUUCAUCAAUUACAUUGCUGAGUUUUUUCUUCAUACUUCGUUUUGUAGUUUGGUGGAUUCCUGUUGAUAUGAGUUCCCAUUUUUGCAACAGCUGUCAAGCACCAGGUAUUUUGCACCAGGGUUGUGUCCAGACUUUUUUUGUUAAAUGAGGUGGUCCAGUUGGGGCAUUAACUCAUGCAACAUAAUCAACUCUUGUAGGAAUCAACAUUGUUUCUUUUCCCUUUCUAUCUCAAGUAAUCACAUCCACCCUAAAGCUCCUGAAGAACUUCUGGUGUUUCUCAACUUUGGCGCCUCCUGUGGACAAAGAAGUCUUUGCUUAUCUUGUUCUCUACAUAAUGAAAAAGGGGAACUUCAGUAUUUUUCAACCUGGGUUCUAUUUUCCCAUGUGUUUGUGUGCCUGACUGAUGGGGAGAACAGUUUCUCAAAUUGAUUCAGUAUUGAGGUAGAAAGAAGCAGCUGGCAGCCAUAAACACAAGAUAAAACUAAAAGUGCUUUAUUUCACCUCUGACAUAGUUUCCCUUGAGCUGCUCUGUGUACAACCAAAUUUCGUCGCUGGAAAAGUGUCGUUCUGACAUCAUGCGAGAUCUCACUUCUUGCAGGAAGACAUCGAAGGACAAAUCAGUGAGUGACAUCAGUAGAGUUAAGGCUCAUUUAUGCUCAACGUUACAUAUGGAUCCAGAUACGGAUGGAGCUCUCCGUCCGUGCUUUGCGUUCUUUUCAUCCGUAUUUCUGUACGUAUCCUUGAAGUUUACGGAUACGGGCCAGACGGAGCAAUACCACUGGAAACUGUUGGGGCAGUGUUGCUGCUGGAGAGAAACGAUGAAGACAAUAGCGGCGGACAUCCUGAAGUACUGAAAAUGGUGAUCGAUUUCUUCACUGAUACAACUAGAGAAAAGAAUUCUCCGUCCUCCAACUGCAAGGCCAUGUUUCUUUUUUUUUGUUGUUGUCACAAACUUUUGACUCCGGCCUGCCCCCUGGUGGAUGUAAUGGUUAACAUCCAUGCCAACGUAAAGGACCCACAGAAAAUUUUGCGGGCAGUGACGGAACUAUUGUUUGAAACGGACGCGUACAUUUUCAUACGCAUGGCGAGCAGGAAUGGGCCUUGAGAGAACACCAGGACUGGACUAUUUAUAUGAGUCAGAAGAGCUCCUACAAGCUGAUGAGCAAACGACGAGAGAGAGGGUCAACAGGCAGAGAGGAGGGCGAACCAGCUUCUGCAAGACCACGAAGCUUAGGAGACCAGUGGUGUUCCUGCUCCCUCUUUAUGAUAUUAAUGACUGAACCACGGUAGCUGUACGUCAUUUUCCAGUCCAACAGAAUAGGUCCAUCUAUUAGUCCUUCAAUAGUUCAUGAUGCAUCAUAUCUGGAGCAGAUCCACAGCUGUACUCCACGUGUGUAUCACAUAUGCAGAGGAGAAUAAAACGCAGCUUUGAACUGCAGUGUGGACACCGCUGUUCAUGAUGACGGAGCUAAAAUUAACUUUUCAUGAGCUGAUAUUGAUGCUUCAUGGUUUAUAACAGUACAGUUGUCAUACACGGUGUGCAGCUCCAUUUUCCUACAACUGCUAAGAGCUUAAUCUUGGGAAAAUUAUGUUGAGUAUGAGCUUCAGUCUCAUUGAUUGUCUUCCGGGUUUAUGCUGCGUUAGCGUCUUCAGUGCAACGAUUUCUGAAAGUUGUGUGCAAAGCUUUAACUGCUGCUGUCUUUGUGAUAGAUGAAACCCAAUAACAGCAAGACGCAGACAACUCUGGGGUCAAAGAGGAGGCUAAAAGUGGUCUAUAUCACCUCAAAGGAUGUCUCUCGUACAUUUAACAGCUUUAUUUGAGAGUCAAGUGCUGGAAAGUCAGAGUGCAAAGGAAACUCUCAUCUCUGCUUUUGAAUAAAUAAGAGAGGUUUGACAACUCUCUGGAUGAAACAAUCAGCAUUGAAAUAUGGAUCAAGCUGAAACAGGACAUUGAAAUUCUGGAUAAUGGCUCAAAUGCUGCUUCUUUCUCCCUUUGCAAAGUGACCACUGCACAAGUUUGAUAUUGGACUCUGACACAGAUAACAGUUUCUUAGGAGAAACCUGCUCCAAAUGCUCAAAGAGUGCAAACUCACAACUGUCAGAUAAAGCGCCCUACAGGCCCGUAGCGCUCUGGUUAAAAAUCCUGAUUUGCAGCAUUUACUGUCGGCGCGUGUUUUAUGAUCUUGUGUUUUUUUUUUUGCUUUGCAUCGUCUGUGUAUUUUCAGAGCAGCUGUUUCAGCUUUUUGCUUUAGCACUUUUCUGCUGUUGUUUUUGUUUUGGACUUUGCAUGUGGUUUUGACUUUGCAUAAUCUGAGUGUUUGUAUCUCUUUCAGUGCGUUGCGGAUCACCAGUCCUUGUCAACAACUGUAGAAAACACUGUAAACUUGCUCACUCUGAUAUGAAAAUGUACCUGGUUCAGUAGUUUACAACUAUACAUCCACAAUAGUUCACUGUAACAUGAUUUUUUUUUUUUAAAUUUUCAAGUUUGUUUUUUGGGUAGGGGGGUGGGUGCGAUGACAGCCUCUGUACGCGGAGCAUUUGCUUCAACCACCAGGCCAGUGACACCUUAGUCAUGUGAAAGUCCUGAGUGCUGCAUCAGACCUUUGCUGAUCAAAUUGGAAAACAACAUCAGAUAUUUGGAGUGAAAC